CCUACGGGGAGCAGCAGUGAGGCAUAUUGGUCCAUGGGCGCAAGCCUGAACCAGCCAAGUCGCGUGAGGGAAGACGGUCCUAUGAAUUGUAAACCUCUUUUGUCGGGGAGCAAAAGACGCCACGCGUGGCGUUCCGAGAGUACCCGAAGAAAAAGCAUCGGCUAACUCCGUGCCAGCCGCCGCGGUAAUACGGAAGGUCCGGGUGUUAUCCGGAUUUAUUGGGUUUAAAGGAAGCGUAGGCCGGCUGUUAAGUCAGCUGUAAAAGUCCGCGGCUCAACCGUGGAAUUGCAGGUGAUACUGGAGGCCUUGAGAGCACAUAGGGAUGCCGGAAUUAAUGGUGUAGCGGUGAAAUGCUUAGAGAUCAUGAAGAACUCCGAUCGCGAAGGCAAGUGUCCGGGGUGCAACUGACGCUGAGGCUCGAAAGUGCGGGUAUCAAACAGGAUUAGAUACCCCUGUAGUC
Molecule: ribosomal RNA, 460 nt
Filed under: uncultured bacterium
Lineage: Bacteria
Description: partial 16S ribosomal RNA
Rfam family: Bacterial small subunit ribosomal RNA
Source: RNAcentral